RNAcentral lists this ribosomal RNA (689 nucleotides) under uncultured Microbacteriaceae bacterium. RNAcentral's name for it is "bacterial SSU rRNA". It matches the Rfam family "Bacterial small subunit ribosomal RNA", at positions 95 to 798 of the family's 1533-position model. Lineage: Bacteria; Bacillati; Actinomycetota; Actinomycetes; Micrococcales; Microbacteriaceae. The record is from RNAcentral.
GUGGCGAACGGGUGAGUAACACGUGAGCAAUCUGCCCUUGACUCUGGGAUAACUGCGGGAAACUGUAGCUAAUACCGGAUACUUUCCUCGCUGGGCAUCCAGCGGGGAAGAAAGAAUUUCGGUCAAGGAUGAGCUCGCGGCCUAUCAGCUAGUUGGUGAGGUAAUGGCUCACCAAGGCGACGACGGGUAGCCGGCCUGAGAGGGUGACCGGCCACACUGGAACUGAGACACGGUCCAGACUCCUACGGGAGGCAGCAGUGGGGAAUAUUGCACAAUGGGCGAAAGCCUGAUGCAGCAACGCCGCGUGAGGGAUGAAGGCCUUCGGGUUGUAAACCUCUUUUAGCAGGGAAGAAGCGAAAGUGACGGUACCUGCAGAAAAAGCACCGGCUAACUACGUGCCAGCAGCCGCGGUAAUACGUAGGGUGCAAGCGUUGUCCGGAAUUAUUGGGCGUAAAGAGCUCGUAGGCGGCUUGUCACGUCUGCUGUGAAAAUCCGAGGCUCAACCUCGGACUUGCAGUGGGUACGGGCAGGCUAGAGUGCGGUAGGGGAGAAGGGAAUUCCUGGUGUAGCGGUGGAAUGCGCAGAUAUCAGGAGGAACACCAAUGGCGAAGGCACCUCUCUGGGCCGUAACUGACGCUGAGGAGCGAAAGCGUGGGGAGCGAACAGGAUUAGAUACCCUGGUAGUCCAC